UACGUAGGGUGCAAGCGUUAAUCGGAAUUACUGGGCGUAAAGCGCGCGCAGGCGGUUAUGCAAGACAGGUGUGAAAUCCCAGGGCUUAACCUUGGAACUGCAUUUGUGACUGCAUAGCUAGAGUACGGUAGAGGGGGAUGGAAUUCCGCGUGUAGCAGUGAAAUGCGUAGAUAUGCGGAGGAACACCGAUGGCGAAGGCAAUCCCCUGGACCUGUACUGACGCUCAUGCACGAAAGCGUGGGGAGCAAACAGG
Molecule: ribosomal RNA, 253 nt
Filed under: uncultured bacterium
Lineage: Bacteria
Description: partial 16S ribosomal RNA
Rfam family: Bacterial small subunit ribosomal RNA
Source: RNAcentral